UGGGCUGUAGCUCAGUGGCAGAGUGCUUGCCUAGCAUGUGAGGUACUGAGUUAAAUCCUCAGCACCACAU
Molecule: transfer RNA, 70 nt
Filed under: Marmota marmota marmota (Alpine marmot)
Lineage: Eukaryota; Metazoa; Chordata; Mammalia; Rodentia; Sciuridae
Also listed under: 1 other name
Rfam family: tRNA
About the family: Transfer RNA (tRNA) molecules are approximately 80 nucleotides in length.
Source: Rfam by way of RNAcentral